ACAGUUCAUGGUAUUCUAAGUUUUUUUUUUUUUUUUUUUAAAUAAGGAUUGGAAUUUAAAUUAGAAAGGGACAAACCAUAUUGGUUUUCUUCUCUGUGGAAAGCACAAUCUGGGCGAUUCCAGGGGAAUUGGAUUGUGAGAAUACUGCGGCACAGUUAAUACAUUUCUAAGGGGAAUUGAAACUGCUGCAACUGGCGUGAUCGUAAAUUGAGUUAGAAAUUGAAAUCAAAGCGAUCCAGAUAUUUCGAAGCGAUAAGCUGAGAUCACGCUCGAGCGGUUAACAUAUUUCUAAGAGGGAAAGUGAAACUGUGCGAGUAUUGGUUCUUCCGACUUGGGCAGAGGAAAGUCGGAUCUGUUGGAGACGUCUGACAGAUUAAAGGCGCGCCGAAGGGAAUAUCCACAGAGGAGAAACCGGGAGAUAUGGGAAAGUCUCAGAGCAAGCUCGUUGAAUAUGAUACACCGGUGUUUAGGCAAAUGAAAAAGUUGUAUGGUCAAAAAAGCAUGCAAGAUAUGGGGAAAUUAAUUUAAUACCAUGGUUUUCCAAAAGAGGGAACGCUGAGUGUUAAGAAAUUAAAAGCUGUGAAGGAAUCAGUAGAAGAGGGAAGCGAGGGACAGAAAGGUUGUUGUGCGAGGCACAUGUGUGAGAAAUGUGAACGUUGGAUAGCUGAGGCAGAUAGCAGAGAAAGGAGAACAAUGCAGAAAGAAUUAGCAAGUAGAAAGAAGGAAAAGAAAGUUGAAGAAUGUGAUGAAAAUGUAAAUGCCUCACAUAGACCUACUAACUGCUUUUAUGUUUGUGUUUCUAAACAUGUACCUCUGCCAUACACACAUUUCCCGGUGACCGAGGUGCAAGCCGCAAAAAUGGACCCCGAUCUCGAUUACUCUCCACCAAGAAGACCAACAGCACUGUGGCUAGAUCCAGAAUGGAGACAAGAAGCAGCGGAAGACCCAGAUAUCAUUCCUGAAACCCCCAACGAGGAAAUUGAAGAGGAAAUAGUGCGCAGAGCACCCCCGACAAAGAAAAGACAAACAGCGAAAGAAGAAAAUGCGAGUAUAACAGCUCCAUUGAUUGAAGUUUCUGGCCCUGACGGCCCUGUCAUGGUCUUUAGACCAUGGACUAUAACGGACAUGAAGAAAGCGAUGGCUCACUUGCCGAGCCCUGAUGAAGCAGGUGAUAAAUUUUCUACUGAAUUAGUCACCUUCUGCAAAGAAUUCAGCCCUACCGUGCAUGAACUGAGAAGGCUGCUGGCAGUGAAACGGAGAGCUGCAGAAAGAGGACUGUCGGAAAGAACACUGUGAAUGGAAAAGUGGAUGGCUAUCUGCUGUUUUAGCACACGCUUUGCAUGCAGAGGAGAUGCAGACGGCGGAGAAGGAAAGAGUUAAAGCCAAGACCAACAGAGAGUGGCAGCUGGCGUUUGUGCAAGCCGUGUCGAGGCCGGGGGGGCUAUUCUGCGUAGCGAAACCAGCAAUCGAAAUCGGGAAGAUGGAAAAGAGGAGGAGGAAGAUAUCCGAACGAAACUGAAAGAAACUCUGAAAGAUGGGGUUGUUGGAUCUGCGAGACUGAUGGACAUAUGACAUUCAGGUGCACCAGAUGCAGACUGUGCAAAAAGGACAGGCAUUGGGCAAAGGAUUGCCUGGAGAACCGGCGAAAUCAACAAGCAGACUGAAGUGAGGGAGACGGAGAGCAGAGAGGAGGGGUCCAGGGCGAGCAACCAACAGUCACAAGUGAAAGCUGCUCAGGAGAAGGUUGCUGAAAUUCCAUUGCACAACCUGAAACCAGGAGAUUUCGUGGUGGUGCGAGAUCUGAGGAGAAAGAGCUGGAAGGCGAAAAGGUGGCUGGGACCGUUCCAGGUGCUUCUGACCACUCACACGGCUGUGAAGGGAGCAGAGAGAGCAACGUGGAUCCAGGCCAGCUACUGCAGAAAGGUCCCACCUGCAUCUGAGGAAGAGGAGCUGAGGGAGUAAGGAUCUGGAGAAACACAUGUCAACAAGGCCAGAAUCCAGCCUAAACAUCAAGCGUCCUUAUCAGCGGGAAGAGCAAGGUUAAGACUGAAAAACAGCAUCGAAGUAGUCUGCGCGCAAGUGAAAAGAUAACUAUGAGCAUCAUAGUUGGGUACAUCAUGUUGUUUUCAUAUUCCAGACUACAGUGACAACGUUAUCAAUAUCAUCACUCACAUGAGAAUGGCCGUAAAAGAGCCUGAACGUACACAUAAUGCUGCUAAAUGAUUUUUGCUGAUAUUAUGCCUACCAUGUAUUUUUUUUAGUUGAUAUCCAGCUCAGGACAGAGACUGGAGAAGUUGAGUGUUUAACAUCAAAUGGUUCAAAUGACUGUGUACAAUGAAGACAUUAUCAUGGAUUUGAGUAGGGAGAAAACUACUGAUGAAGGGACAAACAGUAGUGGAAGCUACAGUGAAAUGUGUUAAAUGCAUGAGAUUUAUGAGAUUUUUUUUCUUUGAAGUAAGAAAUGUUCAGGCCUAUCUGAAUCUAUACUGUUUGCUUGCUUGAAAUAGGGUCUGUCCCCAUAUAAAAAGCCUUAGUAUAUUUCCUAAAUUCUUUUACAAACUUAAGAGGGUGAUCAUUUAUGUGAAGAUCAGGGAUGAAGAGUAUAAAUGUGAUGAAAUGCCUUAAGUUUGCUUUAUUUUGAAUCAUGUUUGUAUUUCUGAGUGUGAAAUUUUGAUUUCGGAUUGUGUUUAUAUCUGUGACGUGACUGAGGGUCUGACUCAUGUCAGGAAUGCAGUAGCAGUGACUUACUCGUUUAGCCCGGCGCCCAGAGCAAACAUAAUUCUAAGUGUGUAGUGAAAAUAGAACAAGUAGUAAUGAAUUUUUAUGUUUUAUUGAUCAAUGAAUGAUAAAGAGGGGGAAAUUGUGGUGGAAAAAUUAAUUUAACAUUGCUUCUGUAUACCUAUAUAAGCAUGUGUUUUCUUUGCUUUACUGUGUGGGUUCAUAAGGGUUACAUUUGGGGGGGGGGGGUCCUGAGGGGGUCACCUAAGUCCUAAAUGUGUGAGAAACAGCCCAUAGAGAGUGUUCCUUGUUUUGUGUGGAAAUUUACAGCUGCUGAAACUGUGUAACCUUGGAAGAGCAGAGGUAUAUAAGGUGGAGGACUGCCCUCUUCCUGGGUCGGUUUCACUCUGCAGGAACUCAGUGUUGCUGUAUGACUGUCUGACCUUCUUUGCAAAGAAUAAAAGCUUUCUUUUUAAUUA
This is a long non-coding RNA of Carassius gibelio (silver crucian carp), 3197 nucleotides long. RefSeq lists it as uncharacterized. The transcript is spliced from 2 exons. The record is from RefSeq and is a predicted model, not a curated record. NCBI's taxonomy places the organism in Eukaryota, Metazoa, Chordata, Actinopteri, Cypriniformes, Cyprinidae.